This 164-nucleotide ribosomal RNA is filed under the name Triplasis purpurea. Its description in RNAcentral is "5.8S ribosomal RNA". It matches the Rfam family "5.8S ribosomal RNA". From Rfam's summary of the family: 5.8S ribosomal RNA (5.8S rRNA) is a component of the large subunit of the eukaryotic ribosome. Lineage: Eukaryota; Viridiplantae; Streptophyta; Magnoliopsida; Poales; Poaceae. The record is from RNAcentral.
CACAUGACUCUCGGCAACGGAUAUCUCGGCUCUCGCAUCGAUGAAGAACGUAGCAAAAUGCGAUACCUGGUGUGAAUUGCAGAAUCCCGUGAACCAUCGAGUUUUUGAACGCAAGUUGCGCCCGAGGCCUUCUGGCUAAGGGCACGUCUGCCUGGGCGUCACGC